RNAcentral lists this ribosomal RNA (301 nucleotides) under uncultured bacterium. RNAcentral's name for it is "partial 16S ribosomal RNA". It matches the Rfam family "Bacterial small subunit ribosomal RNA", at positions 509 to 807 of the family's 1533-position model. The record is from RNAcentral.
CAGUCGCCGCGGUAAUACGAAGGGUGCAAGCGUUAAUCGGAAUUACUGGGCGUAAAGCGUGCGUAGGCGGUUUGUUAAGUCUGUUGUGAAAUCCCCGGGCUCAACCUGGGAAUGGCAAUGGAUACUGGCAAGCUAGAGUGUGUCAGAGGAUGGUGGAAUUCCCGGUGUAGCGGUGAAAUGCGUAGAGAUCGGGAGGAACAUCAGUGGCGAAGGCGGCCAUCUGGGACAACACUGACGCUGAGGCACGAAGGCGUGGGGAGCAAACAGGAUUAGAUACCCCUGUAGUCCCUGUCUCUUAUAC